GCGGCAGCGGGCUGUAGCAAUACAGUGCCGGCGAGCGGCGGACGGGUGNAGGAAUACAUCGGAAUCUACCUUGUCGUGGGGGAUAACGUAGGGAAACUUACGCUAAUACCGCAUACGAACUACGGUUGAAAGCGGAGGACCGCAAGGCUUCGCGCGAUUGGAUGAGCCGAUGUCGGAUUAGCUAGUUGGCGGGGUAAUGGCCCACCAAGGCGACGAUCCGUAGCUGGUCUGAGAGGAUGAUCAGCCACACUGGAACUGAGACACGGUCCAGACUCCUACGGGAGGCAGCAGUGGGGAAUAUUGGACAAUGGGCGCAAGCCUGAUCCAGCCAUGCCGCGUGUGUGAAGAAGGCCUUCGGGUUGUAAAGCACUUUUGUUCGGGAAGAAAAGCUACCGGUUAAUACCCGGGAGUCAUGACGGUACCGAAAGAAUAAGCACCGGCUAACUUCGUGCCAGCAGCCGCGGUAAUACGAAGGGUGCAAGCGUUACUCGGAAUUACUGGGCGUAAAGCGUGCGUAGGUGGUGAGUUAAGUCUGUCGUGAAAGCCCCGGGCUCAACCUGGGAAUGGCGAUGGAUACUGGCUCGCUAGAGUGCGGUAGAGGAGAGUGGAAUUCCCGGUGUAGCAGUGAAAUGCGUAGAGAUCGGGAGGAACAUCAGUUGCGAAGGCGGCUCUCUGGACCAACACUGACACUGAGGCACGAAAGCGUGGGGAGCAAACAGGA
This 721-nucleotide ribosomal RNA is filed under the name uncultured bacterium. RNAcentral's name for it is "bacterial SSU rRNA". It matches the Rfam family "Bacterial small subunit ribosomal RNA", at positions 66 to 777 of the family's 1533-position model. The record is from RNAcentral.